GACGAACGCUGGCGGCGUGCUUAACACAUGCAAGUCGAACGGAAAGGCCCCUUUGGGGGUACUCGAUUGGCUAACGGGUGAGUAACACGUGAGUGACCUGCCCUUCAUUUCGGUUGAACUUCCUGAAACUGGCGCUAAUACCGGAUAGGAAUCCUUGCUGCAUGGUGGGUGUUGGAAAGCUUUGGCGGUUUUGGAUGGACUCGCUGCCGUUCAGCUUGUUGGUGGGGUAGUGGCUUACCAAGGCUUUGACGGGUAGCCGGCCUGGGAGGGCGAACGGCCAAAUUGGGACUGAGAUACGGCCCAGACUCCUACGGGGGGGAGCAGUGGGGAAGAUUGCACAAUGGGCGGAAGCCUGAUGCAGCAAAGCCGCGUGCGGGAUGACGGGCUUCGGGUUGUAAACCGCUUUCAGCAGGGGAGAAGCUUGGGGUGACGGUACUUGCAGAAGAAGCACCGGCUAACUACGUG
Molecule: ribosomal RNA, 465 nt
Filed under: uncultured bacterium
Lineage: Bacteria
Description: partial 16S ribosomal RNA
Rfam family: Bacterial small subunit ribosomal RNA
Source: RNAcentral